Molecule: long non-coding RNA, 1107 nt
Organism: Rattus norvegicus (Norway rat)
Lineage: Eukaryota; Metazoa; Chordata; Mammalia; Rodentia; Muridae
Source: RefSeq, a predicted model, not a curated record
AGGCGGGGCCUCAGGUGGUGGGCGGUGCUAGAAGGAGCUUGGUCAUGAGUCCAUGAUUGUGGGAAGGAGCUGGGGUAGCACAAGUGUCACUCAGGGUCACCGUCAGGCCACGCCCAUUCUCUCAGGCCCUGGACCCGGACCCGGCCCUUUCCGACUGGCUGGGGAGCUACAUGAUGAUGACGUGCGGGAGGAGGGACUCUGGUUACAUCGUGGCAUGACCUUCCCCGAUGAAUAAAGAUCUCGGGACCAAUCACCGGAAGUGGGGUAGGCGGGACUUCCAGGUCACAGAAGGAAAGAGAAGAGGCUGGAAAAUGUGACCCGAUUUUGCACAAGGGGAGCUCGGAGGAAGACGUAGCAAACACAAGGCCCCCGAGAUUCACCCCCAGUGGACUUAACUCAGAACGACUCACAAAUUAGGAUGAUGGGUGCGGUGCCCAGUGAUUGUGUGUCCUGUUGAUUCUAAACUGAGACUGUGUGGGGUUCUCCUUCACGAGGCGACUCGGCUGGGGUUCAGAGAGAAAGCCAAAGUGGCAGAGCACGGAUUUGGGAGGAGCGCACCCCAGCUAGUCACGUGACUUUGGAUGCAUGGGGCCGUGUAGCAGCGACCUGCCCUGGUAGCACAGUGAGCAGCGACCUGCCCUGGGAGCAUAGUGAGUAGCGACCUACAAAUGUGGCAUCAGCGGGUAUCUAGAGUGACGUCAUGCUGUGCUACCCCACCUACUCUCUGGUCGCAGUAGUCUCUCAGCCCCCAUUGCUAGCUGCACCCUGCCACUGUCUCUGUGACAGCUGGGAACAUCUGUCUCUCUCAGCAACCCAGUAACAUCAGGACUCUAGAGGUCCCAGCGGUGGCCGGACCUCGUGGCUCUGUGUCCUGCUCUGGUCCCAGAGGCAGCCACCUUAUCAUGGCUCCCUGCUGUGGACUCAGCCCACACUCCCAACACCUGCUCCCUGGUCCCAGCACCUGUCCCCUGGUCACAGGAGUGGAUACCCUCUCCCAGUUCUCUGCUGCUGCUCUGUUUGUGCCCCAGCAUCUGCCCCCUAAUGGUUAUAGCAUCCACCCCCAGGAACCAGUUAAAAUAAAAAAUCCAGAUGCUCGUGAUUUAACAA